AAUGAACGCUGGCGGCAGGCCUAACACAUGCAAGUCGAACGGAUCCUUCGGGAUUAGUGGCGGACGGGUGAGUAACGCGUGGGAACAUACCCAAAGGUACGGAAUAGCCUCGGGAAACUGGGAGUAAUACCGUAUGUGCUCGAAAGAGGAAAGAUUUAUCGCCUUUGGAUGGGCCCGCGUUGGAUUAGGUAGUUGGUGGGGUAAUGGCCUACCAAGCCGACGAUCCAUAGCUGGUUUGAGAGGGUGAUCAGCCACACUGGGAAUGAGACACGGCGCAGACGACUAGGGGAGUUAGAGGUGUGGAAUCUUAGACAAGGGGGGAAGCCCUGAUCGAGCCAUGGCGGGUGGUCAAUGAAGGCCUUAGGGUUGUAACGAUCUUGCAGGUGGGAAGAGAAUAACUGUGCCUCCAGGAGAAGCCCCGGCUAACUCCGUGGCAGAAGCCGCCGUAA
This 449-nucleotide ribosomal RNA is filed under the name uncultured bacterium. Its description in RNAcentral is "partial 16S ribosomal RNA". It matches the Rfam family "Bacterial small subunit ribosomal RNA", at positions 29 to 523 of the family's 1533-position model. The record is from RNAcentral.